Molecule: ribosomal RNA, 495 nt
Filed under: uncultured bacterium
Lineage: Bacteria
Description: partial 16S ribosomal RNA
Rfam family: Bacterial small subunit ribosomal RNA
Source: RNAcentral
AUGAACGCUGGCGGCGUGCCUAAUACAUGCAAGUCGAGCGAACGGACGAGAAGCUUGCUUCUCUGAUGUUAGCGGCGGACGGGUGAGUAACACGUGGAUAACCUACCUAUAAGACUGGGAUAACUUCGGGAAACCGGAGCUAAUACCGGAUGAUAUUUUGAACCGCAUGGUUCAAAAGUGAAAGACGGUCUUGCUGUCACUUAUAGAUGGAUCCGCGCUGCAUUAGCUAGUUGGUAAGGUAACGGCUUACCAAGGCAACGAUGCAUAGCCGACCUGAGAGGGUGAUCGGCCACACUGGAACUGAGACACGGUCCAGACUCCUACGGGAGGCAGCAGUAGGGAAUCUUCCGCAAUGGGCGAAAGCCUGACGGAGCAACGCCGCGUGAGUGAUGAAGGGCUUCGGAUCGUAAAACUCUGUUAUUAGGGAAGAACAUAUGUGUAAGUAACUGUGCACAUCUUGACGGUACCUAAUCAGAAAGCCACGGCUAACUACGU